RNAcentral lists this ribosomal RNA (274 nucleotides) under uncultured bacterium. Its description in RNAcentral is "partial 16S ribosomal RNA". It matches the Rfam family "Bacterial small subunit ribosomal RNA", at positions 523 to 796 of the family's 1533-position model. The record is from RNAcentral.
AUACGGGGGGAGCAAGCGUUGUCCGGAAUCAUUGGGCGUAAAGGGCACGUAGGCGGUUUCUUAAGUCGAAUGUGAAAUCUCACGGCUCAACCGUGAAACUGCGUUCGAAACUAAGUGACUUGAGUUUGGGAGAGGUGUACGGAAUUCCUGGCGUAGCGGUGGAAUGCGUAGAUAUCAGGAAGAACACCAAUGGCGAAGGCAGUACACUGGCCUGAAACUGACGCUGAGGUGCGAAAGCGUGGGGAGCAAACAGGAUUAGAUACCCCAGUAGUCC